Molecule: ribosomal RNA, 752 nt
Filed under: Entamoeba histolytica
Lineage: Eukaryota; Evosea; Mastigamoebida; Endamoebidae
Description: SSU rRNA
Rfam family: Eukaryotic small subunit ribosomal RNA
Source: RNAcentral
AAUAACGGGAGAGGUGAAAAUCCAUGAUCGCUAUAAGAUGCACGAGAGCGAAAGCAUUUCACUCAAUUAUGUUCAUUAAUCAAGAACGAAAGUUAGGGGAUCGAAGACGAUCAGAUACCGUCGUAGUCCUAACUAUAAACGAUGUCAACCAAGGAUUGGAUAAAUUACAGAAUCUGAGCAACGAAGAAGCAUUGCUUUGGAAGUGCGAAGAUUCAAUAUUACCUUAUUCAGAACUUAAAGAGAAAUCUUGAGUUUAUGGACUUCAGGGGGAGUAUGGUCACAAGGCUGAAACUUAAAGGAAUUGACGGAAGGGCACACCAGGAGUGGAGCCUGCGGCUCAAUUUGACUCAACACGGGAAAACUUACCAAGACCGAACAGUAUAAGGAAUGACAGAUUAAUAGUUCUUUCAUGAUUUAUUGGGUAGUGGUGCAUGGCCGUUCUUAGUUGGUGGAGUGAUUUGUCAGGUUAAUUCCGGUAACGAACGAGACUGAAACCUAUUAAUUAGUUGUUGGCCCAUGAGACCAACAUGUUAGCAAUAACAGCUGCUCGUUAGCACUUCUUAAAGGGACACAUUUCAAUUGUUCCCUUUUAAUUAUAGUUGUUGGCUUCGGUCAACACGUUUUUAAAGGGGAAAAAAGAAAAAGGAAGCAUUCAGCAAUAACAGGUCUGUGAUGCCCUUAGACAUCUUGGGCCGCACGCGCGCUACAAUGGAGUAACUAGAGAGUAAUUUGUAGGUAUACCUCUAUUGUUC